Molecule: long non-coding RNA, 424 nt
Organism: Microtus oregoni (creeping vole)
Lineage: Eukaryota; Metazoa; Chordata; Mammalia; Rodentia; Cricetidae
Exons: 4
Source: RefSeq, a predicted model, not a curated record
UUUCUGUCGGGGGCCAGGAAUACAGCACCAAGGAUAAAAGCACUUGCUGCGGAAGCUGAUGACUCCAGAACCUAAGCUAAAAGCCAGGGUGGUGGUGUGCUUCUGAAAUCCCAGAAUUCCUAUGGUAAGAUGGCAGGCGGAAGGAGAAUCGGCUGGAAGCUAGACUGGAGUCUGCAGCACACAGAAGAAACAAGAGAGACCCUGCCUCACUAGACGGAGGAAGGAACUGCUUCCAGAAAUAACGUUCUCCAAGGGCACAGCUGAUUCUCUAUGACCAGCCGCUUCCUGUUCCUGCUGCCAUGACAGACUGGAUCCCCUUGACCUGUGAGCUGAAAUAAGCCCUUUCUCCUGCAAAGGCAGUGAGAAGACAAGCUGAUGAAAAGUUUGGUUAUCUGGGACUCAUCAAAUCAGCCUUAUGAAGCAG